RNAcentral lists this ribosomal RNA (1566 nucleotides) under Triticum aestivum (bread wheat). Its description in RNAcentral is "partial small subunit ribosomal RNA". The record is from RNAcentral. Lineage: Eukaryota; Viridiplantae; Streptophyta; Magnoliopsida; Poales; Poaceae.
AUGAGCACCGGCGGGCCGGCCUCGAGUAUGACUAGUAUUAAUCGGAGAGUUGAUCAUGACGACUCGUCUGGCGCCCCUGCCGCCGGCGCUGGCGGAAGCACCAGCGGCAGCGGGUUGUCGCCGACAGGGCGGUGGGGGAAGCCGGUGGGAUCCAUGAAAAAGUCGAGGCAACCCAUCAUCACUCGGGAUGACCCCAACAUGCUGAAGACGCACUUCCUAGAGAUCGCCUCCGGAGCAGACAUCGUGGAAGGAAUAGCCAGGUUUGCGCGCCGCCAGAAGUUCGGGGUGUGCGUGCUCUCGGGCAGUGGCAUGGUCGGUGAUGUCACGCUGCGCCAGCCCCUGUGGCCGGAGGGCUCCACCGUCACACUUCACGGCAGAUUCGAAAUCCUUUCCCUCUCAGGCGCCUUCAUGCCGCCGCCGUGUCCUCCCGGCGCCAACGGCCUGACAAUCUACCUCGCCGGAAGAGAGGGUCAGGUCGUCGGAGGCAAAGUCGGCGACGCCCUCGUAGCUUCCGGCACGGUCAUGGUCGCUGUGACCACCUGCUCUAACAUUACCUACGAGCGCCUCCCACUCGUUGAUGACAAGCCCGCCAAGGCAGCAGCAGAUCCCGAUGAAUCACCGGCGGGAAUGGCUGUCGCGCAGGGAUUGCUGGUCCCCAAGUUCGACGACUUGUCACCGGACCUGAUGCCGAAGGAGGAAGAUAACCUCGAAGAUAAGCAGGCACUAAAGUACACAACAGAGAAGAUGGAAAACGACGACACUCUAGAGCCAUUACAAGGUAGUACAUUGGAGCAGGUUCUUGGUAACCUCGGCCGUAAGCACAGAUCGCAAAAGAUGGAAAUUGAUCGUACUCCAGACUCUCCAGAGCCAUCACAUGAUAGUGCGUUGGAACAGACAUCAUCACAGAACAUGGAAACUGAUCCUAGUCCAGAGUCAGCGAUGAGUACCUUGGAGCAGGACGAAAGGCUGCCGCUUCAGAGAACCCUCUCUGCUAUACAAGACCUUAUCAAACGUGCUGACUGGUGGGUUCACAAGCAUAUUUUGGUUAAUCAGGCUACCAAUGACACAGUGUAUUGUGCUGAAGAUCUCUUGGACGAACUCGAUUACUAUGAGCUCCGAGACAAAAUUGAAGGAAGUACAUUGCGACCUGGAUGCUUAGAGACUUGUGACAUCAAAAUGAAGAAAGUCAAAGGAGAGCUCGAUGAACGAAUGAACCUAACGGAUCUCAUUGGCAUGCCUGAUGUGCGGCAGCUGUUUAUCGAUGAAUCUAUUUGUCAGGAAGCCAAUCUUUUUAAAGAGGAAAAAGCAAUCUUUGGGCGUCAGAAAGAGUUGAUGGAGUUGUUUGACUUGCUUGAUUUUCAAGAGAACAGUCCAACCAGUGAGCAAGUCACUGCUGCAAUCACAGUACCUGACCGUGAUCAAGCAAGACCAGAAAAUGUGUCUGUUUUACCAAUAGUAGGAAGAAGUGGUGUCGGGAAGACUACUCUGGCCCAUAACAUUUUCAGAGAGAAGAGAGUUGGUGAUCAUUUUGACCUGCUAAUUUGGAUACGAGAAGAAGUUGAUUAA